This is a long non-coding RNA of Ctenocephalides felis (cat flea), 281 nucleotides long. RefSeq lists it as uncharacterized. The record is from RefSeq and is a predicted model, not a curated record. NCBI's taxonomy places the organism in Eukaryota, Metazoa, Arthropoda, Insecta, Siphonaptera, Pulicidae. The transcript has 3 exons.
AAGAGAGCAGGGAUUCCGACCAGGGAUCCACCAGGAACCAGAGGGCCUGCUGGUGGCAACGGAGCCACCGACCAGGAACGGAGCAGGCAGAGGCUGAUGCGGCAGGGGACCACAAAACAUGAAACACAGGUGACGCAGGUUUAGCCGUGGUUUGCAAGUUGCUGCUCCAAUAUAACAAAAAGCGGCAACUUUCCUUCUGAAAAUAUUUGAAUAGAAUCAGAUUAUUCAACCAACCGAGAUGUCAUCUAGUCUACAUGAAGUAAAUGUAUAAAUACUUAAUC